GAUGAACGCUGGCGGCGUGCCUAAUACAUGCAAGUCGAGCGAACAGAUGAGGAGCUUGCUCCUCUGACGUUAGCGGCGGACGGGUGAGUAACACGUGGAUAACCUACCUAUAAGACUGGGAUAACUUCGGGAAACCGGAGCUAAUACCGGAUAAUUUAUUGAACCGCAUGGUUCAAUAGUGAAAGACGGUUUUGCUGUCACUUAUAGAUGGAUCCGCGCCGCAUUAGCUAGUUGGUAAGGUAACGGCUUACCAAGGCAACGAUGCGUAGCCGACCUGAGAGGGUGAUCGGCCACACUGGAACUGAGACACGGUCCAGACUCCUACGGGAGGCAGCAGUAGGGAAUCUUCCGCAAUGGGCGAAAGCCUGACGGAGCAACGCCGCGUGAGUGAUGAAGGUCUUCGGAUCGUAAAACUCUGUUAUUAGGGAAGAACAAAUGUGUAAGUAACUAUGCACGUCUUGACGGUACCUAAUCAGAAAGCCACGGCUAACUACGUG
This 497-nucleotide ribosomal RNA is filed under the name uncultured bacterium. RNAcentral's name for it is "partial 16S ribosomal RNA". It matches the Rfam family "Bacterial small subunit ribosomal RNA", at positions 28 to 507 of the family's 1533-position model. The record is from RNAcentral.